This 1762-nucleotide ribosomal RNA is filed under the name Salpa thompsoni. RNAcentral's name for it is "SSU rRNA". It matches the Rfam family "Eukaryotic small subunit ribosomal RNA". Lineage: Eukaryota; Metazoa; Chordata; Thaliacea; Salpida; Salpidae. The record is from RNAcentral.
CAUAUGCUUGUCUCAAAGAUUAAGCCAUGCAAGUGUAAGUACGAGCUCGAGUACAGUGAAACUGCGAAUGGCUCAUUAAAUCAGUUAUGGUUCAUUUGAUCGUACGCUUUAAUACAUGGAUAACUGUGGCAAUUCUAGAGCUAAUACAUGCGUGAAGCGCCGACUUGACAGGAGGCGCGCAUUUAUCAGACCAAAACUAACCGUGUUUCGGCACGUUCAGAUGGUGACUCUGGAUAAGCUCGCGGAUCGCACGGUCUUGCACCGGCGACAUCUCUUUAAAGCAACUGCCCUAUCAACUAUCGUCGGUACGGUAUCGGCCUACCGAGGUUGUAACGGGUGACGGAGAAUCAGGGUUCGAUUCCGGAGAGGGAGCCUGAGAAACGGCUACCACAUCCAAGGAAGGCAGCAGGCGCGCAAAUUACCCAUUCCCGGCUCGGGGAGGUAGUGACGAAAAAUAACAAUACAGGCCUCGUACGAGGCCCUGUAAUUGGAAUGAGUACACUUUAAACGCUUUAACGAGUAUCCAUUGGAGGGCAAGUCUGGUGCCAGCAGCCGCGGUAAUUCCAGCUCCAAAAGUGUAUAUUUAAGUUGUUGCGGUUGAAAAGCUCGUAGUUGGAUUUUGGGACGGCGCGUCUGGUCGGCCGCAAGGCUUGUACUGCACGCGCUGUCCUCACAUGACCGGUGCCUCUAAGGUGCUCUUAACUGAGUGCUUUUGUGGUCCGGGAAGUUUACCUUGAAAAAAUUAGAGUGUUCAAAGCAGGCUUAAAGCUUGAAUAAUGUUGCAUGGAAUAAUGGAAUAGGACCUCGGUUCUAUUUUGUUGGUUUUCGGAGCGCGAGGUAAUGAUUAAGAGGAACGGACGGGGGCAUCCGUACUGUGCCGUUAGAGGUGAAAUUCUUGGAUCGGCGCAAGACGAACAACUGCGAAAGCAUUUGCCAAGAAUGUUUUCUUUAAUCAAGAGCGAAAGUCAGAGGUUCGAAGACGAUCAGAUACCGUCCUAGUUCUGACCUUAAACGAUGCCGACUAGCGAUCGGGCAGCGUCGAUAUAAGACCUGCCCGGCAGCUUCCGGGAAACCAAAGUCUUUGGGUUCCGGGGGAAGUAUGGUUGCAAAGCUGAAACUUAAAGGAAUUGACGGAAGGGCACCACCAGGAGUGGAGCCUGCGGCUUAAUUUGACUCAACACGGGAAAUCUCACCCGGCCCGGACACAGCGAGGAUUGACAGAUUGAGAGCUCUUUCUUGAUUCUGUGGGUGGUGGUGCAUGGCCGUUCUUAGUUGGUGGAGCGAUUUGUCUGGUUAAUUCCGAUAACGAACGAGACUCUUACUUGCUAAAUAGCUACUCGAGCAUCUAGCUCGGAGAUAACUUCUUAGAGGGACUAGUGGCGUUUAGCCACACGAGAUUGAGCAAUAACAGGUCUGUGAUGCCCUUAGAUGUUCGGGGCCGCACGCGCGCUACACUGACCGGAUCAUCGUGUGCUUCCCUUGGCCGAAAGGCCCGGGUAAUCCCUUGAACCCCGGUCGUGCUAGGGAUAGGGAAUUGCAAUUGUUUCCCUUGAACGAGGAAUUCCCAGUAAGCGCGAGUCAUUAGCUCGCGUUGAUUACGUCCCUGCCCUUUGUACACACCGCCCGUCGCUACUACCGAUUGAAUGGUUUAGUGAGGUCCUCCGAUUGGGCCUGGUGAGCUCGGAAACGAGCCUGCUGGUGCCCGAAAAGACGCCCGAACUUGAUCAUUUAGAGGAAGUAAAAGUCGUAACAAGGUGCGUAG